AACAAAACUAUCCCACCAAAACCAGCUAAAACAUUUUCACCAUCCUAGUAUAGGCGAUAGAAAAGACAGUUGGAGCAAUAGAGAUAGUACCGCAAGGGAAAGAUGAAAAACAAUGAAAUAUUCACUAAGCCAUAAAAAGCAAAGAUUAAUCCUUAUACCUUUUGCAUCAUGAUUUAGCCAGCAUAUUCAAGCAAAGAGCCCUAAAGUAUGAAACCCCGAAACUAAGUGAGCUACUUAAAGGCAGCCACACCAAGGCUAAAUCCGUCUCUGUGGCAAAAGAGUGGAAAGACCUAUAAGUAGAGGUGAAAAGCCUAACGAACUAAGUGAUAGCUGGUUGCUCAAUAAAAGAAUAUAAGUUCAACCUUAAAUCUUCUAAAAACAACCUAAAGUAAAAAGAAAAGUUUAAGAUUUAUUCAAUUGGGGUACAGCCCAAUUGAAAAAGGACACAACCUAAUAACGGAGGACAAAACACCAAAAUACAACAACCGUAGGCCUUAAAGCAGCCACCAAUUAAGAAAGCGUCAAAGCCCACCCACCCACUAUUAAAUAAUAACAUAAAAUUUUCUCCCCUAAUAAUACUGAGCUACUCUACUUAAAUAGAGGAACUAAUGCUAAAAUGAGUAACAAGAAGACAAAACUUCUCUAAUGCGCUAGCUUAAGUCACAACAGACAAACUACUGACUAUUAACAACCAUCACUAUAAAACAACAACAUUUAAACCACCCUAUAGACCCAACUGUUAACCCAACACAGGAGCGUAUACAAGAAAGAUUAAAAUUUGUAAAAGGAACUAGGCAAAUAAAUGAGCCCGACUGUUUACCAAAAACAUAGCCCCUAGCAACACAAGUAUUAGGGGUAAUGCCUGCCCAGUGACACUGUUAAACGGCCGCGGUAUCCUAACCGUGCAAAGGUAGCGUAAUCACUUGUCUUUUAAAUAAAGACUAGAAUGAAUGGCCAAACGAGGUUCUACCUGUCUCUUACAAAUAAUCAGUGAAAUUGAUCUUCCUGUGCAAAAGCAGGAAUAACAUUAUAAGACGAGAAGACCCUGUGGAACUUCAAAUACAAAUCAACUAUCACCAACCUAGACCUACAGCCCGCAGUGCUUCCGGCAAAACGAUCCAAUAUACUUGAUCAACGAACCAAGCUACCCCAGGGAUAACAGCGCAAUCCCAUCCUAGAGUCCCUAUCGACGAUGGAGUUUACGACCUCGAUGUUGGAUCAGGACAUCCUGAUGGUGCAGCUGCUAUCAAGGGUUCGUUUGUUCAACGAUUAAUAGUCCUACGUGAUCUGAGUUCAGACCGGAGCAAUCCAGGUCGGUUUCUAUCUAUAAGUUUAAGCCUUUUCUAGUACGAAAGGACCGAAAAGACAAGGCCCAUACUAAAAACAAGCCUUACCUUACAUUAAUGAAAACAGCUUAACUAAUAAUAAGGCAAACAAACCACAGCCCUAAAAAAGGGCCU
This 1460-nucleotide ribosomal RNA is filed under the name Cuora yunnanensis (Yunnan box turtle). RNAcentral's name for it is "16S ribosomal RNA". It matches the Rfam family "Bacterial large subunit ribosomal RNA". Lineage: Eukaryota; Metazoa; Chordata; Testudines; Geoemydidae. The record is from RNAcentral.